This 328-nucleotide ribosomal RNA is filed under the name uncultured eukaryote. Its description in RNAcentral is "partial 18S ribosomal RNA". It matches the Rfam family "Eukaryotic small subunit ribosomal RNA", at positions 1470 to 1796 of the family's 1831-position model. The record is from RNAcentral.
CCCUUAGAUGUCCUGGGCCGCACGCGCGUUACACUGAUGCAUUCAACGAGCAUAUAACCUUGGCCGAGAGGCCUGGGCAAUCUUGUUAACGUGCAUCGUGAUAGGGAUAGAUUAUUGAAAUUAUUAAUCUUGAACGAGGAAUUCCUAGUAAACGCAGAUCAUCAAUCUGCAUUGAUUACGUCCCUGCCCUUUGUACACACCGCCCGUCGCACCUACCGAUUGGAUGGUCCGGUGAAGCCUCGGGAUUGUGGUUCUUGCCGCUUUAUUGUGGCGUGACCGCGAGAACUUGUCUAAACCUUAUCAUCUAGAGGAAGGUGAAGUCGUAACA